UUUUAUGGAGAGUUUGAUCCUGGCUCAGGAUGAACGCUGGCGGCGUGCCUAAUACAUGCAAGUCGAGCGAACAGACGAGGAGCUUGCUCCUCUGACGUUAGCGGCGGACGGGUGAGUAACACGUGGAUAACCUACCUAUAAGACUGGGAUAACUUCGGGAAACCGGAGCUAAUACCGGAUAAUAUAUUGAACCGCAUGGUUCAAUAGUGAAAGACGGUUUUGCUGUCACUUAUAGAUGGAUCCGCGCCGCAUUAGCUAGUUGGUAAGGUAACGGCUUACCAAGGCAACGAUGCGUAGCCGACCUGAGAGGGUGAUCGGCCACACUGGAACUGAGACACGGUCCAGACUCCUACGGGAGGCAGCAGUAGGGAAUCU
RNAcentral lists this ribosomal RNA (375 nucleotides) under Staphylococcus epidermidis NIHLM008. Its description in RNAcentral is "bacterial SSU rRNA". It matches the Rfam family "Bacterial small subunit ribosomal RNA", at positions 1 to 364 of the family's 1533-position model. Lineage: Bacteria; Bacillati; Bacillota; Bacilli; Caryophanales; Staphylococcaceae. The record is from RNAcentral.